Molecule: unclassified non-coding RNA, 219 nt
Filed under: Glomeraceae sp.
Lineage: Eukaryota; Fungi; Glomeromycota; Glomeromycetes; Glomerales; Glomeraceae
Description: partial contains 5.8S ribosomal RNA and internal transcribed spacer 2
Rfam family: 5.8S ribosomal RNA (bases 1-71)
Source: RNAcentral
GUGAAUCAUCGAAUCUUUGAACGCAAAUUGCACUCUCUGGUAUUCCGGAGAGUAUGUCUGUUUGAGGGUCAGUUUAAAUAAAAUUCUUUGUGGUUGCUGCCUUUCUUGGUGACGCACCGGGUUUGGGUCGUCUUGCCUUCGGUUAAGUGACUUAAAAUUUUGUAUGAUUUUUUCGAACGUAUUUAAAUGAUUUUACGUUCGUUUGCGAUAUUAAAUACU